Molecule: long non-coding RNA, 1673 nt
Organism: Echinops telfairi (small Madagascar hedgehog)
Lineage: Eukaryota; Metazoa; Chordata; Mammalia; Afrosoricida; Tenrecidae
Exons: 3
Source: RefSeq, a predicted model, not a curated record
AGGCCGGCUGCCUGGAGAGAUGGCAUUGUGCUGACCAUCUCUGAGCCUCGGACUUCCUCAGCGGCUCCUCUUCUGGGUGGAGGGCAGCGGAGAGCAGCAGGGAACCUGGUGGGUGAAGGUGCCACAAGAGAGUUAAACAGCUAAUGCUAAUUGUCACGAGAGAGACCCGCAGAGGCACAGAGAUCAGAGGAAGGAAGAUGCUUGGGCCAGACAUCCGAUUGACACGUGGAACAGUGUCACAGAACCCAGAGGACAGAUGAAAGCAUCAGAUGCUCUCCUGAGAACUCCAGGGGGCCAACAUCACGCUCUGCAUCACUCGUAUUUGACCCAAAGUGGGCCUGUGCUCUAUCAGAACAUUGUCUCAGUCCUCUAGCCCAGCAACUCACUGGGCAACUCUGUUUUCUGACAAUGUACUUGGCAUGGCUGGGAAGCUGCUCCCUUUAUCUACUUUAAAUCUUUCUUCCUGUCAUUCCUGGCCAUUUCCUUUUCUUCUUUCUUCACUGAGGCUGGAAGAGCAGGUCCUGACCUGUCUUAUACUUAAUCUUGGCCCAGCAGUAGCCAAGAGCCAUAGAGAUAAGAGCCAGCUCUUCAAAGCUGCUCAGAUCCCCUGAUAAUUCCACAGAGGAUUUUCCUAGCACUUACUGGGAAGAGGGCUUGGGAAAGCUGGCAGCUUAUCAAGUGGAGGGGCUAUUACAGGGACUAGACAUGGGUGAGACAUAACAAGUGCACUGCUUCAGGGGAUAAAAGGUACUUCAGAGUGAUGCCCCAGCUACUGACACUGCCGGGAGCCUAUAGCUAUGGCGAAGGAUUCAUCCUCACCGAAGACUUCCUUUCGGUGGCUUUAAGAAGUUCUCCUAAGUUGACCUUCUGUUUAGCAAGAGCAGGAGAGGGAGCAGGGUGGGAAGUAAAUUGAAUAGAUCCCUGAGGAUUCACUCUGAGGACAUUUCAGCCCUUGAGUAUUUAACAAAGGUCCCACGGGAGUGUCAGUGGUUCCCCAGCUACUGACAAUUGCAAGGGUGCUGGCUGGAACCCCCAGGGGCGCCAUGCAAACUGGUUCUCAGUAAAAAUAAAACCCCAAUGAAGCCAUCAUGACCUAUGGAACAGAGUAGAGUGGUUCCGUUGGGUUUUUCAUGCUGUGGUCUUUAAAGAAGCCAAAGAAGGGCUUGUGGGGGUUCUAACAACUGAUCUUUCUGUUCGUGGCCGAGAGAGGGGGUCACCAUUGCACCAUCAGGAUGCCUUGACUUAUGAAAAUCCUACUUCACACCACAUGAGGUUGUCAUGAAUUAGAAAGGGUGCUAAGGCACCUAGCAGCAACAGUAUUUCACAAGGAUUAGAGGGUUUUUCUUAAGGAGUCAUUGUGGGUUGUGUUCUGGGUUGCUAGUUGCAAGGGCAGCAGUUCAAAGCCAGCAGCCACUCCAUGGGAGAAAGGAAAUCUUUCUGUUUCCAUCAAGAUUUACAGCUUCACAGUUCUCAUCUGCCCUAUGGGGCCGUUAUGAGUCAGACUCAACUCCAUGGCAGUGGUAAGCCUCAUUCUCUGGUCACAGUAAUUUUUUUUUGUAAAAGAAGUUUUACUUGAACCGUGUUUUUUGUUAUGGCUUAUUUAAGAGAACAGUGUGGCUCUGACAUUUUGAUUCCUGCUCAGGAAAAAUGCCGCAGAAACUGUUGUGAUGUUG